Molecule: ribosomal RNA, 253 nt
Filed under: uncultured bacterium
Lineage: Bacteria
Description: partial 16S ribosomal RNA
Rfam family: Bacterial small subunit ribosomal RNA
Source: RNAcentral
UACGAGGGGGGCGAGCGUUAUUCGGAAUUAUUGGGCGUAAAGGGCGCGUAGGCGGUCGGAUAAGUCUUGUGUGAAAUCUUCGGGCUCAACUCGAAGUCUGCACAGGAAACUAUCUGGCUUGAGUGUGGGAGAGGUGAGUGGAAUUCCUGGUGUAGCGGUGAAAUGCGUAGAUAUCAGGAGGAACACCUGUGGCGAAAGCGGCUCACUGGACCACAACUGACGCUGAGGCGCGAAAGCUAGGGGAGCAAACAGG